This 68-nucleotide transfer RNA is filed under the name Marmota monax (woodchuck). Its description in RNAcentral is "tRNA.Ala". The record is from RNAcentral. Lineage: Eukaryota; Metazoa; Chordata; Mammalia; Rodentia; Sciuridae.
GGAAUGUAGUUCAGUGGUAAAGUGCUUGCUUAGCAUGUGUGAGGUCCUAGGUUUGAUCUCUAGCACCA